RNAcentral lists this ribosomal RNA (558 nucleotides) under Triticum aestivum (bread wheat). RNAcentral's name for it is "partial small subunit ribosomal RNA". The record is from RNAcentral. Lineage: Eukaryota; Viridiplantae; Streptophyta; Magnoliopsida; Poales; Poaceae.
AUGGGAAAAUUUUCUUGUGAUGUUUUGUGCGAUAUUAUUCCGGUACCGAUGGAUUCGUGUCAUAUGAUUUUGGGAGAGCCAUGGUAUAUGAAAAAUAAUGCUACAUAUGACAAUCUCACCAACACAUACGUUGUUGAAUGGGAUAGAAAAUAUGUUCUCAUGGCAAUGGAAAAGAAGUCCUUCAAGACUUGGAGAAAAGCACGCUUGCAGGCGAUGAAGGAACAACAACAUGCAAAGAAGGAGGCUGAAGCUUCUGAAAUUUUAUCUGCACACGUUCAUCCUCUAGACAAAGAGGUUGCUGAAAAGAUCGAUUCGAAACCGAAGUCGGUUUCACCUGAAGAAGGGAAGGAUGAUACGGCCAGUCCUAGCUCCCGUCAUAUUGAUGUUGCACUUGUUCAAGAGAUUGUUAUUGUGCAUGAAGAAAUAAUGCAUGCUCCCUGUCAUUUGCUUAACAUGGACCAAGGGGCACAUGCAUAUGCUAGUACAUGCGCGUACAAUGCCAAAGCAUUAGCUGGUUCACAUCAGGUCCAGAUCUUGUUCAGGGCUCUUGUAAAAUAA